CUCGGAAAAGGGCAAAACCAGAGCGAUCUGGUGACGCAAAGCCACGGGUCCGCAGGUGCGGAUAGCCGGGAUGCCGAA
This 78-nucleotide non-coding RNA is filed under the name Desulfuromonas soudanensis. RNAcentral's name for it is "c-di-GMP sequence". It matches the Rfam family "c-di-GMP-I riboswitch aptamer". Rfam says of the family: GEMM was predicted in a large-scale screen for bacterial structured RNA regulatory elements. Genes associated with GEMM are involved in a diverse array of functions, including chemotaxis regulation, signal transduction, secretion and chitin. The record is from Rfam by way of RNAcentral. Lineage: Bacteria; Pseudomonadati; Thermodesulfobacteriota; Desulfuromonadia; Desulfuromonadales; Desulfuromonadaceae.